This is a long non-coding RNA of Drosophila biarmipes, 1060 nucleotides long. RefSeq lists it as uncharacterized. The transcript has 4 exons. The record is from RefSeq and is a predicted model, not a curated record. NCBI's taxonomy places the organism in Eukaryota, Metazoa, Arthropoda, Insecta, Diptera, Drosophilidae.
UAUUUAGGCUAGGGAUUUAUUUUAGGCUAGAAACGAAAUUCAACUGAAAUGUAGUUGCCUCAUCAAAACCUAUUGAUUGCUAUAAAAAAAGUUAUCCAGGCCCACAGAUUCUUCGUCCUAGCAAUGACGUCAUAGCAACCCUUUAGUUCUGCAGUAGUCUCGCCGUGUAAUGUCAGACGCCAAAAACUUUUUUUCUGCCAAAAACUGUAUGCCGCUGUCGAUGUUAGCAAAGAAACCGGCGCAGCGUAAAAGAGUUUUGAAAUAAGCGCUCGUGGAGGAGAAACAGAUCGUCGGAGAUUUCUUUUUUUCUGUGUCUUAUAAUCUGCCUGCCCGCUACUCUCAGAGAGACAACCUUCGGCCGGUCUAUUUUUUUGCGUCUCUCCGAUAGGUUCAGAAAGAAACCAAAAGAAGAAAAAAGCCUGAAACAUUCUGUUUCAGUUAUGAAACGAAAAACCGCAGGCUGUUUAAAUUGUGCCCUGCAACACAUUUUAAUUUAUUAAUAAAAGGGCUUUUUAUUAAAAAUUUCCGAAGUGAUUUCACUUGGGAAGUGUCACUUGCAUGUGACAGGCCAUACAACUAAAAGGAACAAGUAAAAUCCGGAAAUGAAAGGAGACUUACAAGUCGACAUCGUCGUCGCUCGCACUCAAAUCCCGUUUAAUGUGCUGAUAGUAAAAAGUAUUUCUGAAAAUUUACAGAAAACGAACUGUUUAUUUUUGGUGGCAGUGCCGCUAGCUCAGUCUGCCUCAGGGCAGAGUACCCCUAUUGCCACAGCUCGAAACAUAAAAAAAAAUAGACAAAUCCGCGGUCUCGCAUCACUGAAACUAUCGGACAUCUCUAAGAACAAAACGUAAACAAAGCGCUCCCUCCCUACGAAAGGUACCCUCUAUAUGCUGCUGGGCACCACCCAAACUUGGUCGGACGGCGCCCCUCCUCGCGACUACGGCGGCUCCAUCUCCCCCACUGGGACAAUUUACUCACACAUGGUGGAUUUUACAAACAUUUAAUAUUUGACAAAGACUUGGCCACCGUCUUCAGGACUUAAUCGGUCAAAGCCGAGGAU